This 508-nucleotide ribosomal RNA is filed under the name uncultured glomeraceous AM fungus. Its description in RNAcentral is "SSU rRNA". It matches the Rfam family "Eukaryotic small subunit ribosomal RNA", at positions 569 to 1078 of the family's 1831-position model. Lineage: Eukaryota; Fungi; Glomeromycota; Glomeromycetes; Glomerales; Glomeraceae. The record is from RNAcentral.
AGCAGCCGCGGUAAUUCCAGCUCCAAUAGCGUAUAUUAAAGUUGUUGCAGUUAAAAAGCUCGUAGUUGGAUUUCGGGGUUAGUAGGUUGGUCAUGCCUCUGGUAUGUACUGGUCUCACUGAUUCCUCCUUCCUGAUGAACCUUAAUGCCAUUAAUUUGGUGUUUUGGGGAAUUUGGACUGUUACUUUGAAAAAAUUAGAGUGUUUAAAGCAAGCUAACGCUUGAAUACAUUAGCAUGGAAUAAUGAAAUAGGACGUUCGAUCCUAUUUUGUUGGUUUCUAGGAUUGACGUAAUGAUUAAUAGGGAUAGUUGGGGGCAUUAGUAUUCAAUUGUCAGAGGUGAAAUUCUUGGAUUUAUUGAAGACUAACUACUGCGAAAGCAUUUGCCAAGGAUGUUUUCAUUAAUCAAGAACGAAAGUUAGGGGAUCGAAGACGAUCAGAUACCGUCGUAGUCUUAACCAUAAACUAUGCCGACUAGGGAUCGGAUGAUGUUAAUUUUUUAAUGACUCA